UAGGGAAUCUUCGGCAAUGGACGGAAGUCUGACCGAGCAACGCCGCGUGAGUGAAGAAGGUUUUCGGAUCGUAAAGCUCUGUUGUAAGAGAAGAACGAGUGUGAGAGUGGAAAGUUCACACUGUGACGGUAUCUUACCAGAAAGGGACGGCUAACUACGUGCCAGCAGCCGCGGUAAUACGUAGGUCCCGAGCGUUGUCCGGAUUUAUUGGGCGUAAAGCGAGCGCAGGCGGUUAGAUAAGUCUGAAGUUAAAGGCUGUGGCUUAACCAUAGUAGGCUUUGGAAACUGUUUAACUUGAGUGCAAGAGGGGAGAGUGGAAUUCCAUGUGUAGCGGUGAAAUGCGUAGAUAUAUGGAGGAACACCGGCGGCGAAAGCGGCUCUCUGGCUUGUAACUGACGCUGAGGCUCGAAAGCGUGGGGAGCAAACAGGAUUAGAUACCCUGGUAGCCCACGCUGUAAACGAUGAGUGCUAGGUGUUAGACCCUUUCCGGGGUUUAGUGCCGUAGCUAACGCAUUAAGCACUCCGCCUGGGGAGUACGACCGCAAGGUUG
RNAcentral lists this ribosomal RNA (550 nucleotides) under uncultured bacterium. RNAcentral describes it as "bacterial SSU rRNA". It matches the Rfam family "Bacterial small subunit ribosomal RNA", at positions 355 to 896 of the family's 1533-position model. The record is from RNAcentral.